UCGAGGAUCUUCGUCAAUGGGCGAAAGCCUGAACGAGCGAUGCCGCGUGUGCGAUGAAGGCCUUCGGGUUGUAAAGCACGAAAGAGAUGAGAAAGGGCAACUUGAUCGAAUCUCAGUAAGCUCGGGCUAAGUUCGUGCCAGCAGCCGCGGUAAGACGAACCGAGCGAACGUUGUUCGGAAUCACUGGGCUUAAAGGGCGCGUAGGCGGGCGGCUAAGUCUGUGUUGAAAUCCUCCAGCUCAACUGGAGAACUGGCAUGGAUACUGGUCGUCUCGAGGAAGGUAGGGGUACGUGGAACUAUCGGUGGAGCGGUGAAAUGCGUUGAUAUCGAUAGGAACUCCGGUGGCGAAGGCGACGUACUGGACCUUUUCUGACGCUGAGGCGCGAAAGCCAGGGGAGCA
RNAcentral lists this ribosomal RNA (400 nucleotides) under uncultured bacterium. RNAcentral's name for it is "bacterial SSU rRNA". It matches the Rfam family "Bacterial small subunit ribosomal RNA", at positions 355 to 770 of the family's 1533-position model. The record is from RNAcentral.